RNAcentral lists this ribosomal RNA (440 nucleotides) under uncultured bacterium. Its description in RNAcentral is "partial 16S ribosomal RNA". It matches the Rfam family "Bacterial small subunit ribosomal RNA", at positions 338 to 795 of the family's 1533-position model. The record is from RNAcentral.
CCUACGGGAGGCAGCAGUGGGGGAUAUUGCACAAUGGGGGGAACCCUGAUGCAGCGACGCCGCGUGGGUGAAGAAGCGCCUCGGCGCGUAAAGCCCUGUCAGCAGGGAAGAAACUGACGGUACCUGAAGAAGAAGCCCCGGCUAACUACGUGCCAGCAGCCGCGGUAAUACGUAGGGGGCAAGCGUUAUCCGGAUUUACUGGGUGUAAAGGGGGCGCAGACGGCGAUGCAAGCCAGGAGUGAAAGCCGGGGGCCCAACCCCGGGACUGCUCUUGGAACUGCGUGGCUGGAGUGCAGGAGGGGCAGGCGGAAUUCCUGGUGUAGCGGUGAAAUGCGUAGAUAUCAGGAGGAACACCGGUGGCGAAGGCGGCCUGCUGGACUGCAACUGACGUUGAGGCCCGAAAGCGUGGGGAGCAAACAGGAUUAGAUACCCGGGUAGUC